Molecule: ribosomal RNA, 429 nt
Filed under: Actinomycetes bacterium
Lineage: Bacteria; Bacillati; Actinomycetota; Actinomycetes
Description: Actinobacteria bacterium partial 16S ribosomal RNA
Rfam family: Bacterial small subunit ribosomal RNA
Source: RNAcentral
UAGGGAAUCUUCCGCAAUGGGCGAAAGCCUGACGGAGCAACGCCGCGUGAGUGAUGAAGGUCUUCGGAUCGUAAAACUCUGUUAUUAGGGAAGAACAAAUGUGUAAGUAACUAUGCACGUCUUGACGGUACCUAAUCAGAAAGCCACGGCUAACUACGUGCCAGCAGCCGCGGUAAUACGUAGGUGGCAAGCGUUAUCCGGAAUUAUUGGGCGUAAAGCGCGCGUAGGCGGUUUUUUAAGUCUGAUGUGAAAGCCCACGGCUCAACCGUGGAGGGUCAAUGGAAACUGGAAAACUUGAGUGCAGAAGAGGAAAGUGGAAUUCCAUGUGUAGCGGUGAAAUGCGCAGAGAUAUGGGGGAACACCAGUGGCGAAGGCGACUUUCAGGUCUGUAACUGACGCUGAUGUGCGAAAGCGUGGGGAUCAAACAGG